CCUACGGGGGGCAGCAGUGAGGAAUAUUGGUCAAUGGGCGAGAGCCUGAACCAGCCAAGUCGCGUGAGGGAGUACUGCCCUAUGGGUUGUAAACCUCUUUUGUCGGGGAGCAAAAGCCGGACGUGUCCGGCUGUGAGAGUACCCGCAGAAAAAGCAUCGGCUAACUCCGUGCCAGCAGCCGCGGUAAUACGGAGGAUGCGAGCGUUAUCCGGGUUUAUUGGGGUUAAAGGGUGCGCAGGCGGAUUUUUAAGUCAGCGGUCAAAUCGUGGGGCUCAACCCCAUCCAGCCGUUGAAACUGGGGAUCUAGAGUGUGCGAGAGGUAUGCGGAAUGCGUGGUGUAGCGGUGAAAUGCAUAGAUAUCACGCAGAACCCCGAUUGCGAAGGCAGCAUACCGGUGCACAACUGACGCUCAGGCACGAAAGCGUGGGUAUCGAACAGGAUUAGAUACCCUGGUAGUC
RNAcentral lists this ribosomal RNA (458 nucleotides) under uncultured bacterium. RNAcentral's name for it is "partial 16S ribosomal RNA". It matches the Rfam family "Bacterial small subunit ribosomal RNA", at positions 338 to 795 of the family's 1533-position model. The record is from RNAcentral.